Molecule: ribosomal RNA, 119 nt
Organism: Lepisosteus oculatus (spotted gar)
Lineage: Eukaryota; Metazoa; Chordata; Actinopteri; Semionotiformes; Lepisosteidae
Source: Rfam
GCAAGCAGCCAUAUCACCCUGCAACUCACAACUGGCAACCCACUGAAGCUAAGCAGGUGUGAGCCCGAUCAGUACCUGGAUGGGAAACCUCCUAGGAAAAACUAAGGUUGGUGCUUGAA